UUUUUUGCAAGUAAUUGUUGAAAUUGGGUGACAAUUCAUCUUGGUUUUUGUGAAAAUUUGCUCGACUCUUUCUCUCCAAGCAUCUGGCCUUCGACCUCAGCCUUCGAACUCAGCCGCCUUCGAAAUUGAGGAGUGAGUCUGUACUUCAGCCCCUCAACCAGUUGCCUCCUCCAAAUGUCAAACGGGAGCUUAUAAUGCUUUCUUUACCGGCAAUAGCUAGCCAGGCCAUUGAUCCUAUGGCUCAGCUGAUGGAGACAGCUUAUAUUGGCAGUUUAGGUCCUGUACAGCUGGCAUCCGCUGGUGUUUCUAUGUCUAUCUUUAAUAUCAUUUCAAAGCUAUUCAACAUACCACUUCUUAGUGUUGCUACUUCUUUCGUAGCU
Molecule: long non-coding RNA, 380 nt
Organism: Spinacia oleracea (spinach)
Lineage: Eukaryota; Viridiplantae; Streptophyta; Magnoliopsida; Caryophyllales; Amaranthaceae
Exons: 3
Source: RefSeq, a predicted model, not a curated record